UGGGGAAUAUUGGACAAUGGGCGAAAGCCUGAUCCAGCAAUGCCGCGUGAGUGAUGAAGGCCUUCGGGUUGUAAAGCUCUUUUGGCGGGGACGAUAAUGACGGUACCCGCAGAAUAAGCUCCGACUAACUUCGUGCCAGCAGUCGCGGUAAUACGAAGGGGGCUAGCGUUGCUCGGAAUUACUGGGCGUAAAGGGCGUGUAGGCGGCCUAUCAAGUCAGAUGUGAAAGCCCCGGGCUUAACCUGGGAACUGC
This 252-nucleotide ribosomal RNA is filed under the name uncultured bacterium. Its description in RNAcentral is "partial 16S ribosomal RNA". It matches the Rfam family "Bacterial small subunit ribosomal RNA", at positions 355 to 624 of the family's 1533-position model. The record is from RNAcentral.